CCGGCGACCGGCGCACGGGUGAGUAACACGUAUGCAACCUGCCCGUCUCAGGGGGAUAAUCGUCGGAAACGGCGUCUAAUACCCCGUAUGAAGCUGGACGGCAUCGUCUGGUUUUGAAGGAAUAUCGGAGACGGAUGGGCAUGCGGCGCAUUAGCUAGUUGGCGGGGUAACGGCCCACCAAGGCGACGAUGCGUAGGGGUUCUGAGAGGAAGGUCCCCCACACUGGUACUGAGACACGGACCAGACUCCUACGGGAGGCAGCAG
RNAcentral lists this ribosomal RNA (264 nucleotides) under uncultured bacterium. Its description in RNAcentral is "partial 16S ribosomal RNA". It matches the Rfam family "Bacterial small subunit ribosomal RNA", at positions 88 to 354 of the family's 1533-position model. The record is from RNAcentral.